CCCCCGGUGGCAAUGGAAAUUGGUACACCUACCGGCUUUAGAAGCCGGGCUUUUGCGAGUUCGAGUCUCGCCUGGGGGACCA
This 82-nucleotide transfer RNA is filed under the name Rhodoferax sp. Its description in RNAcentral is "tRNA-Leu". Lineage: Bacteria; Pseudomonadati; Pseudomonadota; Betaproteobacteria; Burkholderiales; Comamonadaceae. RNAcentral also lists the same sequence under 1 other name. The record is from RNAcentral.